This 493-nucleotide ribosomal RNA is filed under the name uncultured bacterium. RNAcentral describes it as "partial 16S ribosomal RNA". It matches the Rfam family "Bacterial small subunit ribosomal RNA", at positions 27 to 507 of the family's 1533-position model. The record is from RNAcentral.
GAGUGAACGCUGGCGGUAGGCCUACCACAUGCAAGUCGAACGGCAGCCCAGUAAGAGCUUGCUCUUACGGGUGGCGAGUGGCGGACGGGUGAGGAAUACAUCGGAAUCUACUUUUUCGUGGGGGAUAACGUAGGGAAACUUACGCUAAUACCGCAUACGACCUACGGGUGAAAGCAGGGGAUCUUCGGACCUUGCGCGAUUGAAUGAGCCGAUGUCGGAUUAGCUAGUUGGCGGGGUAAAGGCCCACCAAGGCGACGAUCCGUAGCUGGUCUGAGAGGAUGAUCAGCCACACUGGAACUGAGACACGGUCCAGACUCCUACGGGAGGCAGCAGUGGGGAAUAUUGGACAAUGGGCGCAAGCCUGAUCCAGCUAUACCGCGUGGGUGAAGAAGGCCUUCGGGUUGUAAAGCCCUUUUGUUGGGAAAGAAAAGCAGCAGGUUAAUACCCCGCUGUUCUGACGGUACCCAAAGAAUAAGCACCGGCUAACUUCGUG